RNAcentral lists this unclassified non-coding RNA (403 nucleotides) under uncultured Cortinarius. RNAcentral's name for it is "sequence contains ITS2". The stretch from base 1 to 154 matches the Rfam family "5.8S ribosomal RNA". Lineage: Eukaryota; Fungi; Basidiomycota; Agaricomycetes; Agaricales; Cortinariaceae. The record is from RNAcentral.
AACUUUUAGCAAUGGAUCACGUGGCUCUCGCAUCGAUGAAGAACGCAGCGAAAUGCGAUAAGUAAUGUGAAUUGCAUAAUUCAGUGAAUCAUCGAAUCUUUGAACGCACCUUGCGCUCCUUGGUAUUCCGAGGAGCAUGCCUGUUUGAGUGUCAUUAAUAUAUAUCAAACUUCUCUUGUUGAGUUGUUUGGAUGUGGGGGUUUGCUGGCCUCUUAAAAGGGGUUCAGCUCUCCUGAAAUGCAUUAGCAGAACAACCUGUUCAUUGGUGUGAUAAACUAUCUACGCUAUUGAAUGUGAAGGGCAGUUCAGCUUUCUAACAGUCCUUGGACAAAUUCAUCAUUAAUGUGACCUCAAAUCAGGUAGGACUACCCGCUGAACUUAAGCAUAUCAAUAAGCGGAGGCU